Peromyscus maniculatus bairdii (prairie deer mouse) is the source of this 222-nucleotide non-coding RNA. NCBI's taxonomy places the organism in Eukaryota, Metazoa, Chordata, Mammalia, Rodentia, Cricetidae. The record is from RefSeq and is a predicted model, not a curated record.
GGAAGCAGAGAGUGAAGCUAGCUACUAGUUAACUGCAGAGGUCUGGAGGUCUGUACAGAGAGGAACAGAAAGUGAUAAGGUAGGGCAGAGACAGGAUCUUGGUCCUUUUGGACUGGAGGAAUACAAGAGGAAGGAAGCAACUGUGGCUGCUCUCCUACUUCUCUGAUCUUUCAGGUUUUACCUCAAUAUCUGACUCCUCGUUUUUAUUGAUGAGAUUCAUUA